GCCGGGCUAGCUCAGUCGGUAGAGCGCGGGACUCUUAAUCCCGUGGUCGAGGGUUCGAGCCCCUCGUUCGGUG
This is a non-coding RNA of Ochromonadaceae sp. CCMP2298, 73 nucleotides long. Lineage: Eukaryota; Synurophyceae; Ochromonadales; Ochromonadaceae. The record is from the annotation of a GenBank genome assembly.